AGAACGAACGCUGGCGGCAGGCCUAAUACAUGCAAGUCGAGCGCCCAGUAAUGGGAGCGGCGGACGGGUGCGUAACACGUGGGAACGUACCCUUUGGUUCGGGAUAACUCAGGGAAACUUGAGCUAAUACCGAGUAAGCCCGAGAGGGGAAAGAUUUAUCGCCAAAGGAUCGGCCCGCGUUCGAUUAGCUAGUUGGUGGGUAAUGGCUCACCAAGGCAACGAUCGAUAGCUGGUUUGAGAGAACGACCAGCCACACUGGGACUGAGACACGGCCCAGACUCCUACGGGAGGCAGCAGUAGGGAAUCUUGGACAAUGGGGGAAACCCUGAUCCAGCCAUGCCGCGUGAGUGAUGAAGGCCUUCGGGUUGUAAACUCUUUCGCGCACGACGAUAAUGACGGUAGUGCGAGAAGAGCUCGGCUAACUUCGUGCCAGCAGCCGC
RNAcentral lists this ribosomal RNA (440 nucleotides) under uncultured bacterium. Its description in RNAcentral is "SSU rRNA". It matches the Rfam family "Bacterial small subunit ribosomal RNA", at positions 26 to 518 of the family's 1533-position model. The record is from RNAcentral.